GACGAACCGUGCGAACGUUGUUCGGAUUCACUGGGCUUAAAGGGCGCGUAGGCGGACGGUCAAGUCAGGGGUGAAAUCUUUCAGCUCAACUGGAAAAGUGCCUCUGAUACUGAUCGUCUCGAGGGAGGUAGGGGCAUGUGGAACUUCCGGUGGAGCGGUGAAAUGCGUAGAUAUCUGGAGGAACACCGGUGGCGAAGGCGGCAUCCUGGACCAACACUGACGCUGAGGAGCGAAAGCCAGGGGAGCAAACGGG
Molecule: ribosomal RNA, 253 nt
Filed under: uncultured bacterium
Lineage: Bacteria
Description: partial 16S ribosomal RNA
Rfam family: Bacterial small subunit ribosomal RNA
Source: RNAcentral